RNAcentral lists this ribosomal RNA (1343 nucleotides) under uncultured bacterium. Its description in RNAcentral is "16S ribosomal RNA". It matches the Rfam family "Bacterial small subunit ribosomal RNA", at positions 28 to 1378 of the family's 1533-position model. The record is from RNAcentral.
GACGAACGCUGGCGGCGUGCUUAACACAUGCAAGUCGAACGGAAAGGCCCUGCUUUUGUGGGGUGCUCGAGUGGCGAACGGGUGAGUAACACGUGAGUAACCUGCCCUUGACUUUGGGAUAACUUCAGGAAACUGGGGCUAAUACCGGAUAGGAGCUCCUGCUGCAUGGUGGGGGUUGGAAAGUUUCGGCGGUUGGGGAUGGACUCGCGGCUUAUCAGCUUGUUGGUGGGGUAGUGGCUUACCAAGGCUUCGACGGGUAGCCGGCCUGAGAGGGUGACCGGCCACAUUGGGACUGAGAUACGGCCCAGACUCCUACGGGAGGCAGCAGUGGGGAAUAUUGCACAAUGGGCGGAAGCCUGAUGCAGCAACGCCGCGUGCGGGAUGACGGCCUUCGGGUUGUAAACCGCUUUCGCCUGUGACGAAGCGUGAGUGACGGUAAUGGGUAAAGAAGCACCGGCUAACUACGUGCCAGCAGCCGCGGUGAUACGUAGGGUGCGAGCGUUGUCCGGAUUUAUUGGGCGUAAAGGGCUCGUAGGUGGUUGAUCGCGUCGGAAGUGUAAUCUUGGGGCUUAACCCUGAGCGUGCUUUCGAUACGGGUUGACUUGAGGAAGGUAGGGGAGAAUGGAAUUCCUGGUGGAGCGGUGGAAUGCGCAGAUAUCAGGAGGAACACCAGUGGCGAAGGCGGUUCUCUGGGCCUUUCCUGACGCUGAGGAGCGAAAGCGUGGGGAGCGAACAGGCUUAGAUACCCUGGUAGUCCACGCUGUAAACGGUGGGUACUAGGUGUGGGGUCCAUUCCACGGGUUCCGUGCCGUAGCUAGCGCUUUAAGUACCCCGCCUGGGGAGUACGGCCGCAAGGCUAAAACUCAAAGGAAUUGACGGGGCCCCGCACAAGCGGCGGAGCAUGCGGAUUAAUUCGAUGCAACGCGUAGAACCUUACCUGGGUUUGACAUGGAUCGGGAGCGCUCAGAGAUGGGUGUGCCUCUUUUGGGGUCGGUUCACAGGUGGUGCAUGGCUGUCGUCAGCUCGUGUCGUGAGAUGUUGGGUUAAGUCCCGCAACGAGCGCAACCCUUGUUCACUGUUGCCAGCACGUUAUGGUGGGGACUCAGUGGAGACCGCCGGGGUCAACUCGGAGGAAGGUGGGGAUGACGUCAAGUCAUCAUGCCCCUUAUGUCCAGGGCUUCACGCAUGCUACAAUGGCUGGUACAGAGAGUGGCGAGCCUGUGAGGGUGAGCGAAUCUCGGAAAGCCGGUCUCAGUUCGGAUUGGGGUCUGCAACUCGACCUCAUGAAGUCGGAGUCGCUAGUAAUCGCAGAUCAGCAACGCUGCGGUGAAUACGUUCCCGGG